RNAcentral lists this transfer RNA (94 nucleotides) under Candidatus Hermodarchaeota archaeon. Its description in RNAcentral is "tRNA-Pro". It matches the Rfam family "tRNA". Rfam says of the family: Transfer RNA (tRNA) molecules are approximately 80 nucleotides in length. The record is from RNAcentral. Lineage: Archaea; Promethearchaeati; Candidatus Hermodarchaeota.
GGGCCGGUGGUCUAGCUUGGUAUAGGCAUGAAGCGCUGACGAUUCGCGGUUCGGGUCCGUGAGAUCUGGGGUUCAAAUCCCCAUCGGCCCACCA